Molecule: long non-coding RNA, 149 nt
Organism: Lycium barbarum (goji berry)
Lineage: Eukaryota; Viridiplantae; Streptophyta; Magnoliopsida; Solanales; Solanaceae
Exons: 2
Source: RefSeq, a predicted model, not a curated record
GCAGCCCGAGUCAUAGGUUGGAUUUAGCUUGAGUUUGGAUCAUAUUGGAGAGCGUUUGAGGUACGGACGCACAGCCUGGUGAUCCACCUGUUUAGGACACCCUUUCUGCUAUUCGGAGUGCUCCUCUCUUUCCGGAGCUUAUACUUUUG